This is a non-coding RNA of Cricetulus griseus (Chinese hamster), 363 nucleotides long. Lineage: Eukaryota; Metazoa; Chordata; Mammalia; Rodentia; Cricetidae. The record is from RefSeq and is a predicted model, not a curated record.
UUCCCUGAGCUGUGAAGAAGGGGAAUUGAUGGAGACAUCCCAUUCAGGGCUGAAUAUUCCAAGGUCUCUCACUCCCCACAAUUUCCAGUUGUGGGUCUUUGCAUUUAUUCCCAUCUGAUUCAAGAGGAAGCUUCCCUGAUAAUGACUAAAACUAUUUUCACAACCAGUUUUUUAACAGAUUCAGAGCUAAACGUCCAGACCUGAAGCACCUGGAAAAAUGGAUUGUAACAUUUGCACUUCACAAUGAAAUGCACCGAAAGCUAAAAUGGAUUCAAGAAUGAGCAGAAGAGCCUGUCGGUGGCUGGUGUGUAAUAAAACAAGCAGAGCAGGUUUGGAUUAUGGAAAGCGUCUGUUCACUAAAGG